RNAcentral lists this small nucleolar RNA (79 nucleotides) under Choloepus hoffmanni (Hoffmann's two-fingered sloth). RNAcentral's name for it is "Small nucleolar RNA SNORD112 (ENSCHOG00000016144.1)". The record is from RNAcentral. Lineage: Eukaryota; Metazoa; Chordata; Mammalia; Pilosa; Megalonychidae.
UGGACUAAUGAUGAGAUUGUACCAUGAACUAAAGAGUAUAAUUUAUCCAAUUCUGAGCACUGGAGAGCCGAAUUCCACC